Molecule: long non-coding RNA, 1626 nt
Organism: Aquila chrysaetos chrysaetos
Lineage: Eukaryota; Metazoa; Chordata; Aves; Accipitriformes; Accipitridae
Exons: 4
Source: RefSeq, a predicted model, not a curated record
CGCAGGCAAUUAGACAAUGGAGCGGACUGGAAAGUCUCUAAGCAAAGUCAGAAGUCCAGCCGGUUGCCUGGGAUAUAGUGCUUCCAGGUCUGCUGGACACGCUGCUAGGAUGCUGAGCCCAAACCCUGGACCCUCUCAGUCUGAACUAUCUGAUUUGUGCCAGAAACAUUGGUUGCAUUAAUGGGACCGGGCAAGAUACGGACUCAAGCACAGGCUAACAGUCCAACAUGCUGUUAGCAGGCUCCUGGCAUGGUUUUGGCCCACACAGCAUCUGUCCCAGGUAUUGUCUGGUGAAUUAACAUAGGCCAGACACUGUUCCCAAUAUGUCUGAUGGACAGGACCGCUCUAUUUUGAGGGAAAGAGGGAUUGGAGGAAACGUAAGCGUAGGGAGGACCUGGAUUAUGCUUUGAAGCCAGAGAAUAUCCCCAGAUUGUUUAAUUCACAGUACAGACGUACCCACUGUGUCUAGAGGCACGGGUCAGGUUUUGUGCUGGUACUCUAGAACGAGAGGAGCUCACAGAGCCAAGCACACCGACCGGAGCCUCCUGGCUUUUUCCUGGAUGGAGCUGGGAUCCUGGAAAUCCUGGGUGCCCAAACUGCAGAAGGUGGGAUCCUGACGCCUUUUCCUGGAGGCAGCAGGAGGCAGCAAGAGGCAGCAGCUGGUCGCUGGCCUCAGCGCUCUUCGAGCUGAAGCUUUCUGGUGCAGCUCACAUCUCUUUUGCUUCAAGUCCCCUGAGCUAGCAUGAAAUGUCAGCCUUCUCAGGACUGAUGGAAGAACAAGUAUAUAAACAGUUAUGCAGGGUGAAAAAGGGGAUGCUUUCCUAAUAAAGCGAUUAUUUUUCCAUCUGGCUUAUAGAAACUGUGGUGGUGAUGGCAAUGAAGAUCCCAAUUUGACUGAGCAGUCAAAUGUAUGCAAAUUGUGGUAUGUUCUAGGACAUUUUGGCUUUUGAGGAGUUUAAAAGUGUUCUGCCACGACUGGCAACCAUCUUGCUGAUCAAGGAUGCUGUGUUUCGGAUGGAAAACCACUGAAGCCUGCGGGCUCCCAUUGCCAGCCUUGUGCCCGUCUCCACCACCACCACCGUGAGAGAGCCUGGGAGCAUCCCUUCUGCCAGAAUUCCCCAAAUAUGCACAGGGAUUUUCCUCAAAUUGUCCUUCUGAGCCUUCUGGAAGAGGGAUGGCUCACUGAACCAGAAACUGAGAAGGGAAUUAAGUGUUUCACAACGGCCGUGAGGCACACGGUGGCACUAGGUGCCUGGCGAAACAAGAUCGACUUUCUCCAGCUGGCCCUAACUGCCUGCGACCUCAGAUCUACGUCUCUGAUGGAAGAGGCGAAAGCCUGAGUAUCGCACGGCAAGACACAGACCUACUAUGAUCAAUUUUAGAUCUUCAAGUGUGAACAUAAGCAAUGACCAUUCUGGCAGCUGGAGCAUCUCAAGCCUCUCUAUAUUCCACGGAUUGGUGUUGAAUUUGUUUGCAAAAUGGAGACAAGUCCAGUGGAAAAUUUGAUGUUUUAUUGUUUUCUUCAAGCUUCCUACGAUUUUCAAGCAGCUGUAAGAGAAACUUGAGUAAACUUGCAAGCGUUAGGUAUAACACAUGGAAUUCCUUCUACUGUAUUUAUUAGCAUGG